UCUACGGGAGGCAGCAGUAGGGAAUCUUCCGCAAUGGACGAAAGUCUGACGGAGCAACGCCGCGUGAGUGAUGAAGGUCUUAGGAUCGUAAAACUCUGUUGUGAGGGAAGAACAAGUAUUGUUCGAACAGGGCAGUACCUUGACGGCACCUCACCAGAAAGCCCCGGCUAACUACGUGCCAGCAGCCGCGGUAAUA
This 196-nucleotide ribosomal RNA is filed under the name uncultured bacterium. RNAcentral's name for it is "partial 16S ribosomal RNA". It matches the Rfam family "Bacterial small subunit ribosomal RNA", at positions 338 to 525 of the family's 1533-position model. The record is from RNAcentral.